UUUUGAUUUGUUUUACCCCUCAAAUUGUUAUGGCAUUUGACUUUUUGAGAACAUUUCUUUACCAUUUCUUUGAUGUUUGACAUUUUUGAUACUUGACAAUUUUUCAAUUUUGCAUUUUUGAACAUUUUUCAAAGUUGCCCCAUUUGUAGCAAGGGUGCUUUUAUUAAAGCAUAGAAGUCUAUUUUUGCUCCUCUUUUCAUUUGAUGCAAUUUGUGCAAAAAUUUUUAUUUUCAUUUUGGUACUUGAACUCAAUUUGGAGAUUUUUGUGGUCAUUCCCUUUUUGUUGACAAAAUAUGAUGAUAGAAGUGAAAGAACGGUUGCAUGGCAUCAAAGGUCACCUUGGAGUAAACGGUAGCCAAAGAGUCAUCGCACCACAAGGUACUCUUGACUAGGACUUAGUCCAUGGGUCAAAAGAUACUAGUAUGACACAUCCUAGGGUGUCUUGAGGGUAUUCUAGCAAACAAAGUCUCAAGGAGAAAAAAUAUCUACAAGGGCCUUAUAUACACUUGUGAAGAUUCCCAAAUAGGCAUUUUCAGAAAAUCUUUCUAUCCAUGCAAACUACUUGCCAUGAUGCAACUAGCAUAUAUACAACCUAAUGCAUAUGCUACUAUCACUAGUAUGCUCUAUAAUCUAAAUGCAACUCCUAACAACACAUAUAUACACAGACCACCAACAACAACAAUCCAUCCUCCUUCAUUUCAAAUCCCCCCUCUUCAUCACCCA
Molecule: unclassified non-coding RNA, 723 nt
Filed under: Silene latifolia
Lineage: Eukaryota; Viridiplantae; Streptophyta; Magnoliopsida; Caryophyllales; Caryophyllaceae
Description: CCLS96.1_D
Source: RNAcentral